GUGCCAGCAGCCGCGGUAAUACGGAGGGAGCUAGCGUUGUUCGGAAUUACUGGGCGUAAAGCGCACGUAGGCGGCUUUGUAAGUUAGAGGUGAAAGCCUGGAGCUCAACUCCAGAAUUGCCUUUAAGACUGCAUCGCUUGAAUCCAGGAGAGGUGAGUGGAAUUCCGAGUGUAGAGGUGAAAUUCGUAGAUAUUCGGAAGAACACCAGUGGCGAAGGCGGCUCACUGGACUGGUAUGACGCUGAGGUGCGAAAGCGUGGGGAGCAAGCAGGAUUAG
RNAcentral lists this ribosomal RNA (276 nucleotides) under uncultured Sphingomonadales bacterium. Its description in RNAcentral is "partial 16S ribosomal RNA". It matches the Rfam family "Bacterial small subunit ribosomal RNA", at positions 505 to 781 of the family's 1533-position model. The record is from RNAcentral. Lineage: Bacteria; Pseudomonadati; Pseudomonadota; Alphaproteobacteria; Sphingomonadales.